AUAAUCCUACGGGGGGCAGCAGUAGGGAAUCUUCCACAAUGGGCGAAAGCCUGAUGGAGCAACGCCGCGUGGGUGAAGAAGGUCUUCGGAUCGUAAAACCCUGUUGUUAGAGAAGAAAGUGCGUGAGAGUAACUGUUCACGUUUCGACGGUAUCUAACCAGAAAGCCACGGCUAACUACGUGCCAGCAGCCGCGGUAAUACGUAGGUGGCAAGCGUUAUCCGGAUUUAUUGGGCGUAAAGGGGACGCAGGCGGUCUUUUAAGCCUGAUGUGAAAGCCUUCGGCGUAACCGUGGUAGGGCAUUGGG
Molecule: ribosomal RNA, 305 nt
Filed under: uncultured bacterium
Lineage: Bacteria
Description: bacterial SSU rRNA
Rfam family: Bacterial small subunit ribosomal RNA
Source: RNAcentral